Molecule: ribosomal RNA, 277 nt
Filed under: uncultured bacterium
Lineage: Bacteria
Description: partial 16S ribosomal RNA
Rfam family: Bacterial small subunit ribosomal RNA
Source: RNAcentral
AAUCAACGCUGGCGGCGCGCUUAACACAUGCAAGUCGCACGAGAAAGGGGAGCAAUCCCUGAGUAAAGUGGCGUACGGGUGAGUAACACGUGGGUCAUCUACACUUUAGUGGGGAAUAACUCUGGGAAACCGGAGCUAAUACCGCAUAAGCCUGAGAAGGGAAAGCCGAAAGGCGCUGAAGAAGGAGCCCGCGGCUGAUUAGCUAGUUGGUGGGGUAACGGCUCACCAAGGCGAUGAUCGGUAGCCGGCCUGAGAGGGCACACGGCCACACUGGCAC